Molecule: ribosomal RNA, 467 nt
Filed under: uncultured bacterium
Lineage: Bacteria
Description: partial 16S ribosomal RNA
Rfam family: Bacterial small subunit ribosomal RNA
Source: RNAcentral
GAUGAACGCUGGCGGCGUGCUUAACACAUGCAGGUCGAACGGAAAGGCCCAAGCUUGCUUGGGUACUCGAGUGGCGAACGGGUGAGUAACAAGUGGGUGAUCUGCCCUGCACUUCGGGAUAAGCCUGGGAAACUGGGUCUAAUACCGGAUAGGACCACUUCUUGGAUGUUGUGGUGGAAAGUUUUUUCGGUGUGGGAUGAGCUCGCGGCCUAUCAGCUUGUUGGUGGGGUAAUGGCCUACCAAGGCGUCGACGGGUAGCCGGCCUGAGAGGGUGUACGGCCACAUUGGGACUGAGAUACGGCCCAGACUCCUACGGGAGGCAGCAGUGGGGAAUAUUGCACAAUGGGCGCAAGCCUGAUGCAGCGACGCCGCGGGGGGGAAGACGGCCUUCGGGUUGUAAAAUCCUUUCGCUAGGGACGAAGCGUUUUGUGACGGUACCUGGAGAAGAAGCACCGGCUAACUACGUG